GGUUUCAUGGUGUAAUAGUGAGCACUCUGGACUCUUAAUCCAGUGAUCCGAGUUCAAAUCUCGGUGGAACCU
This 72-nucleotide transfer RNA is filed under the name Blattella germanica (German cockroach). RNAcentral describes it as "tRNA-Lys (CTT) (tRNA-Lys-CTT-29-1)". It matches the Rfam family "tRNA". From Rfam's summary of the family: Transfer RNA (tRNA) molecules are approximately 80 nucleotides in length. Their secondary structure includes four short double-helical elements and three loops (D, anti-codon, and T loops). Lineage: Eukaryota; Metazoa; Arthropoda; Insecta; Blattodea; Blattellidae. The record is from RNAcentral.